Molecule: long non-coding RNA, 237 nt
Filed under: Mytilus galloprovincialis (Mediterranean mussel)
Lineage: Eukaryota; Metazoa; Mollusca; Bivalvia; Mytilida; Mytilidae
Source: RNAcentral
GCGGGAAAAAAGUUUACACAUGUAAUUAACGUUAAAUAUCAAAGAACCAAUUUCUUUGCAGAUAUAGCAGGCUUUAUAAGCAAUGAAUGACUAGAGAAAUUAAGAUUGGCAAUGGAGAAAAAUAAUGAUAUAGAGAUCCAGAAAAUCAGAGACGAAAAUAUGAAAGAAAUCAAUCACUAUCACGAACAGCUUAUCGCAAGCACUUCUACCAACAGAUCUUGAUUCUGUAAUGGCUAA